AAAAGGGGGGGGGGGGGUAAAAAGAAAUUGUGGGGGGUCAAUUUUUUCUCAUUUCAGAUUUCAGAAAUUAAAAAGAAUUAUUCUUCAAUUAUUAUUUUUUUUUCAAAUUUCAAAUGUUGAAAAAUUUCAAGAAGUAAUCUUUAAUUGCACAGUAUGGUGCAUUAGAUUUGUAAAAUCUUUGACCACAUUUAUUUAUUUGUUAUGCCGAAUCUAACCAUGUAUUUAGAUUUUUAAUUUUGGGUCCAGUUUGUUUUCAAAUUGGUCUACAUUAAGGUCCAAAGGGUCCAAAAUUUAACUUUGUUUGAUUUUAACAAAAAUUGAAUGUAUGGGGUUCUUUGAUAUGCUGAAUCUAAACAUGUAUUUAGAUUUUUGAUUUUUGGCCCAGUUUUCAAGUUGGUCCAAAUUGGGGUCCAAAAUUAAACUUUGUUUGAUUUAAAAAAAAAUUGAAUAUAUGGGGUUCUUUGAUAUGCUGAAUCUAACCAUGUAUUUAGAUUUUUUAUUUGUGGACCCUGCUAUCAAAUUGGUUCAUAUUGAGGUCAAAAGGGUCCAAAAUUAAACUUUUCGUUUGAUUUCAUCAAAAAUUGAAUUAUUGGGGUUCUUUGAUAUGCCAAAUCUAACAGUGUAUUUAGAUAUUUAAUUUUGGGUCCUUUUUUUUAAAUUGGUCUACAUUAAGGGCCAAAAGGAUCUAAAAUUAAACUUAGUUGGAUUUUAACAAAAAUUGAAUUCUUUGGGUUCUUUGAUAUGCUGAAUCUAAACAUGUGUUUAGAUUUUUGAUUAUGGGCCCAGUUUUCAAGUUUGUCCAAGUUGGGGUCCAAAAUUAAACUUUGUUUGAUUUCAACAAAAAUUGAAUAUAUGGGGUUCUUUGAUAUGCUGAAUCUAAACAUGUAUUUAGAUUUUUGAUUUUUGGCCCAGUUUUCAAGUUGGUCCAAAUUGGGGUCCAAAAUUAAACUUUGUUUGAUUUCAACAAAAAUUGAAUAUAUGGGGUUCUUUGAUAUGCUGAAUCUAACCAUGUUUUUAGAUUUUUUGUUUUUGGGCCCGCUAUCAAAUUGGUUCAUAUUGAGGUCAAAAGGGUCCAAAAUUUUAACUUUGUUUGAUUUCAUCAAAAAUUGAAUUAUUGGGGUUCUUUGAUAUGCCAAAUCUAACCGUGUAUUUAGAUUUUUAAUUUUGGGUCCCGUUUUUUAAAUUGGUCUACAUUAAGGUCCAAAGGGUCCAAAAUUAAACUUAGUUUGAUUUUAACAAAAAUUGAAUUCUUUGGGUUCUUUGAUAUGCUGAAUCUAAACAUGUGUUUAGAUUUUUGAUUAUGGGCCCAGUUUUCAAGUUUGUCCAAGUUGGGGUCCAAAAUUAAACUUUGUUUGAUUUCAACAAAAAUUGAAUAUAUGGGGUUCUUUGAUAUGCUGAAUCUAACCAUGUAUUUCGAUUUUGGACAUUGGACCAUAAUAGGUAAAUUAAAAAAAAUCAAGUUCUUAGACCACAUUCUUUCUGUGUCAGAAACCUAUGCUGUGUCAAAUAUUUAAUCACAAUCCAAAUUCAGAGCUGUAUCAAGCUUGAAUGUUGUGUCCAUACUUGCCCCAACUGUUCAGGGUUAGACCUCUGCGGUCGUAUCAAGUUGCGCCCAGCGAAGCAUUUUAUUUUACAA
Mytilus californianus (California mussel) is the source of this 1636-nucleotide long non-coding RNA. RefSeq lists it as uncharacterized. The record is from RefSeq and is a predicted model, not a curated record. Lineage: Eukaryota; Metazoa; Mollusca; Bivalvia; Mytilida; Mytilidae. The transcript has 2 exons.